Molecule: long non-coding RNA, 310 nt
Organism: Corythoichthys intestinalis (scribbled pipefish)
Lineage: Eukaryota; Metazoa; Chordata; Actinopteri; Syngnathiformes; Syngnathidae
Exons: 3
Source: RefSeq, a predicted model, not a curated record
UGACAAGUUCACCUCGUCCAGGUAGAAUACUCGUGCGAACGACAGGUGUACUCUUUAGACAUCCCCGCACACACCCAGGGCUCCAUGGUGACCUUUGACCCGGGGGUGAAGAGCGUGAUGGCCAAGCAGAGAUCUUGCUGCCGGAUCAGCGGCUCGAUUAACUCCCACCUCUGGAAAAAGAAAACACAAAAAGGGUUUGAAAGUUAUUCAUGUCGUAAAAACACAAGCGUUACCAUGAACCAAGCAACCAUUGCUAGAAACUUCCACCGAGCUUUGGAACAUUGAUUUAAAUCGGGAACCCCCGUCACUU